GUCUCCGUGGCAUAGUCGGGAGAAUACCCGACUAUAGAUCGGUAGGAUUCGGGUUCGAGCCUCGGUGAAGGUA
Non-coding RNA from Henosepilachna vigintioctopunctata, 73 nucleotides. NCBI's taxonomy places the organism in Eukaryota, Metazoa, Arthropoda, Insecta, Coleoptera, Coccinellidae. The record is from the annotation of a GenBank genome assembly.